ACGGAAGGCAGCAGUGGGGAAUAUUGCACAAUGGGGGAAACCCUGAUGCAGCGACGCCGCGUGAGUGAAGAAGUAUUUCGGUAUGUAAAGCUCUAUCAGCAGGAAAGAAAAUGACGGUACCUGACUAAGAAGCCCCGGCUAACUACGUGCCAGCAGCCGCGGUAAUACGUAGGGGGCAAGCGUUAUCCGGAUUUACUGGGUGUAAAGGGAGCGUAGACGGCUUUGCAAGUCUGAAGUGAAAGCCCGGGGCUCAACCCCGGAACUGCUUUGGAAACUGUAGAGCUGGAGUGCAGGAGAGGUAAGUGGAAUUCCUAGUGUAGCGGUGAAAUGCGUAGAUAUUAGGAGGAACACCAGUGGCGAAGGCGGCUUGCUGGGCUUUUACUGACGCUGAGGCUCGAAAGCGUGGGGAGCAAACAGGAUUAGAUACCCUGGUA
Molecule: ribosomal RNA, 434 nt
Filed under: uncultured Clostridiales Family XIV bacterium
Lineage: Bacteria; Bacillati; Bacillota; Clostridia; Eubacteriales; Clostridiales Family XIV. Incertae Sedis
Description: bacterial SSU rRNA
Rfam family: Bacterial small subunit ribosomal RNA
Source: RNAcentral